UUUUACGAAUUUUAGUAGCGGACGGGUGAGUAACACGUGAGAAUCUACUUUCUGGAGAGGGAUAACAUUUAGAAAUGAUUGCUAAUACCUCAUAUAUUUUUUUUAGUAAAAGGUUUAUUCCGCCAAAAAAAGAGCUCGCGGCUGAUUAGCUAGUUGGUAGGGUAAAGGCCUACCAAGGCGACGAUCAGUAUCUGGUUUGAGAGGAUGAUCAGACACAUUGGAACUGAGACACGGUCCAAACUCC
RNAcentral lists this ribosomal RNA (244 nucleotides) under uncultured bacterium. RNAcentral describes it as "partial 16S ribosomal RNA". It matches the Rfam family "Bacterial small subunit ribosomal RNA", at positions 81 to 339 of the family's 1533-position model. The record is from RNAcentral.